Long non-coding RNA from Cyprinus carpio carpio, 576 nucleotides. The record is from Ensembl. Lineage: Eukaryota; Metazoa; Chordata; Actinopteri; Cypriniformes; Cyprinidae.
CUUAUUGAAGUAGUCACAACGACGACAUCACUAGCUAGGCCGCAUAUUCCAUCGCCAGAUCCGAACCAAGCGAAGUGAAGGAAGACGGGUGUCCUUUUCGUACACUGAGUGUGGGGGGUGAGUCUUCAUGCUGUGAAAACCUAUAAUUUUGACGUGGUGCUGUAUAUUGCUGUGGGCUGCUGUGUAUUGCCGUGUGUCCUGUCAGAUAAACCCCCGCCUUCACGCACUUCGUCGCGGGAGGACAAGGAGACUGCUGGUCCUAGCCUAGUUCAGUACAGUAUAUGUUGUGAGCGUGCUUCAGAUCUCCGGAGAUAGCACAGUACGCUGUGUCCAGCCCAGAGGUGAGAGCCAUUCAAAGCAAACUAACUGUGCUAUUGUGCCCAAGUUGAUACCUGUGGAGAGAAAAGGAGAGAGAGUGGGUAACACGAGGAGAGACCGAGGAAACCUGUACUUACGCCGCUGCCUGUGGAGAAAGAGAAAGCGAGUGAGCACCCAAGGAACGAACUGUGUGAACCAGUACUUACUGUGAGCUGUAAUCAGCGAAGAGCCGUUGCCUGUGGAGAAAGAGAAAGAGAG